This 518-nucleotide ribosomal RNA is filed under the name uncultured organism. RNAcentral's name for it is "bacterial SSU rRNA". It matches the Rfam family "Bacterial small subunit ribosomal RNA", at positions 1 to 531 of the family's 1533-position model. The record is from RNAcentral.
UUGGAUCCAGACUUUGAUCAUGGCUCAGGAUGAACGCUGGCGGCGCGCCUAACACAUGCAAGUCGAACGAGCGAGAGAGAGCUUGCUUUCUCGAGCGAGUGGCGAACGGGUGAGUAACGCGUGAGGAACCUGCCUCAAAGAGGGGGACAACAGUUGGAAACGACUGCUAAUACCGCAUAAGCCCACGACCCGGCAUCAGGUAGAGGGAAAAGGAGCAAUCCGCUUUGAGAUGGCCUCGCGUCCGAUUAGCUAGUUGGUGAGGUAACGGCCCACCAAGGCGACGAUCGGUAGCCGGACUGAGAGGUUGAACGGCCACAUUGGGACUGAGACACGGCCCAGACUCCUACGGGAGGCAGCAGUGGGGAAUAUUGCACAAUGGGGGAAACCCUGAUGCAGCGACGCCGCGUGGAGGAAGAAGGUCUUCGGAUUGUAAACUCCUGUUGUUGAGGAAGAUAAUGACGGUACUCAACAAGGAAGUGACGGCUAACUACGUGCCAGCAGCCGCGGUAAAACGUAGG